CUUAACGGUAAAAUGGCCUUCGAUACUGGGUUUCUUGAGUCCGGAAGAGGUUGGUGGAAUUCGUGGUGUAGCGGUGAAAUGCAUAGAUAUCACGAAGAACACCGGUGGCGAAGGCGGCCAACUGGUCCGGUACUGACGCUGAGGCACGAGAGCGUGGGGAGCGAACAGGAUUAGAUACCCUGGUAGUCCACGCCGUAAACGAUGUAUGCUAGUUGUUGGCCCUUCGGGGUCAGUGACGCAGUUAACGCAGUAAGCAUACCACCUGGGGAGUACGUUCGCAAGAAUGAAACUCAAAGGAAUUGACGGGGGCCCGCACAAGCGGUGGAGCAUGUGGCUUAAUUCGAUGCAACGCGAAGAACCUUACCCAGGCUAAAUCACGGGCGACCGGCCGGGAAACCGGCCUUCCCUUCGGGGCGCC
This 418-nucleotide ribosomal RNA is filed under the name uncultured Bacteroidota bacterium. RNAcentral describes it as "bacterial SSU rRNA". It matches the Rfam family "Bacterial small subunit ribosomal RNA", at positions 608 to 1030 of the family's 1533-position model. Lineage: Bacteria; Pseudomonadati; Bacteroidota. The record is from RNAcentral.